Molecule: ribosomal RNA, 253 nt
Filed under: uncultured bacterium
Lineage: Bacteria
Description: partial 16S ribosomal RNA
Rfam family: Bacterial small subunit ribosomal RNA
Source: RNAcentral
UACAGAGGGGGCAAGCGUUGUUCGGAAUUACUGGGCGUAAAGGGCGCGUAGGCGGCCUGUUAAGUCGAACGUGAAAUCCCCGGGCUCAACCCGGGAACUGCGUCCGAUACUGGCAGGCUUGAAUCCGGGAGAGGGAUGUGGAAUUCCCGGUGUAGCGGUGAAAUGCGCAGAUAUCGGGAGGAACACCAAUGGCGAAGGCAGCUUGCUGGGACGGUACUGACGCUGAGACGCGAAAGCGUGGGGAGCAAACAGG